GACGAACCGUGCGAACGUUGUUCGGAAUCACUGGGCUUAAAGGGUGCGUAGGCGGGUUGUCCAGUCUGGGGUGAAAUCCCACGGCUCAACCGUGGAAUUGCCUCAGAUACUGACGACCUCGAGGGAGGUUGGGGCGAGCGGAACUGUGGGUGGAGCGGUGUAAAGCGUUGAUAUCCACAGGAACUCCGGUGGCGAAGGCGGCUCGCUGGACCUCUUCUGACGCUGAGGCACGAAAGCUAGGGGAGCAAACGGG
This 253-nucleotide ribosomal RNA is filed under the name uncultured bacterium. RNAcentral's name for it is "partial 16S ribosomal RNA". It matches the Rfam family "Bacterial small subunit ribosomal RNA", at positions 524 to 776 of the family's 1533-position model. The record is from RNAcentral.